GCUUGUAGCUCAGGUGGUUAGAGCGCACGCCUGAUAAGCGUGAGGUCGGAGGUUCGAGUCCUCCCAGGCC
Molecule: transfer RNA, 70 nt
Filed under: Anaerofustis stercorihominis
Lineage: Bacteria; Bacillati; Bacillota; Clostridia; Eubacteriales; Eubacteriaceae
Rfam family: tRNA
About the family: Transfer RNA (tRNA) molecules are approximately 80 nucleotides in length. Their secondary structure includes four short double-helical elements and three loops (D, anti-codon, and T loops).
Source: RNAcentral